Molecule: ribosomal RNA, 459 nt
Filed under: uncultured bacterium
Lineage: Bacteria
Description: SSU rRNA
Rfam family: Bacterial small subunit ribosomal RNA
Source: RNAcentral
AGAAUCAACGCUGGCGGCGUGCCUAACACAUGCAAGUCGAACGAGAAAGGGUAGCAAUACCUGAGUAAAGUGGCGCACGGGUGAGUAACACGUGACUAACCUACCUUUUAGUGGGGGGAUAACCUAGGGAAACCUGGGCUAAUACCGCAUAAUACCUACGGGUCAAAGCAGCAAUGCGCUGGAAGAGGGGGUCGCGGCCGAUUAGCUAGUUGGCGGGGUAAUGGCCCACCAAGGCAGUGAUCGGUAUCCGGCCUGAGAGGGCGCACGGACACACUGGAACUGAAACACGGUCCAGACUCCUACGGGAGGCAGCAGUGGGGAAUUUGCGCAAUGGGGGAAACCCUGACGCAGCAACGCCGCGUGGAGGAUGAAGACCCUUGGGUCGUAAACUCCUUUCGAUCGGGACGAUAAUGACGGUACCGGAAGAAGAAGCCCGGCUAACUUCGCGCCAGCAGCCGC